Molecule: unclassified non-coding RNA, 387 nt
Filed under: soil metagenome
Description: partial contains 5.8S ribosomal RNA, internal transcribed spacer 2, and large subunit ribosomal RNA
Rfam family: 5.8S ribosomal RNA (bases 1-122)
Source: RNAcentral
GAUGAAGAACGUAGCGAAAUGCGAUAAGUAAUGUGAAUUGCAGAAUUCAGUGAAUCAUCGAAUCUUUGAACGCACCUUGCACCCUUUGGACUGCUCCAAAGGGUAUGCUCGUUUGAGUGUCAUUGUACUCUCACACUCUCUGAUCCUUUGGAUUUGGGGAGCAGUGGACUUGGGUGCUUGCUGCUUCCUUGUGGCUCACCUGAAAUGCAUCAGUGCAUCUCUCGAUUGGACAUAGUACGGCGUGAUAAGUGUCUUCGCCGGCACCUCAUAUGAGGGUGGCCGAUCGGGAGCUCUGUGCUUUCAAACCGUCUUCGGACAACGCUGACAACUUGAACUCAAAUCGAGUAGGACUACCCGCUGAACUUAAGCAUAUCAAUAAGCGGAGGA